Molecule: ribosomal RNA, 253 nt
Filed under: uncultured bacterium
Lineage: Bacteria
Description: partial 16S ribosomal RNA
Rfam family: Bacterial small subunit ribosomal RNA
Source: RNAcentral
UACGAAGGGGGCUAGCGUUGCUCGGAAUCACUGGGCGUAAAGCGCACGUAGGCGGAUCUUUAAGUCAGGGGUGAAAUCCUGGAGCUCAACUCCAGAACUGCCUUUGAUACUGAGGAUCUCGAGUCCGGAAGAGGUGAGUGGAACUCCGAGUGUAGAGGUGAAAUUCGUAGAUAUUCGGAAGAACACCAGUGGCGAAGGCGGCUCACUGGUCCGGUACUGACGCUGGGGUGCGAAAGCGUGGGGAGCAAACAGG